Sphaeramia orbicularis (orbiculate cardinalfish) is the source of this 127-nucleotide long non-coding RNA. RefSeq lists it as uncharacterized. Lineage: Eukaryota; Metazoa; Chordata; Actinopteri; Kurtiformes; Apogonidae. The transcript has 3 exons. The record is from RefSeq and is a predicted model, not a curated record.
UUUGGGCUUUUUUUGCCACAUGAUUACAGGGUUUCUGCAGGUAUCAGCUAAUCUAAUUUAAUGCUUUUAGUGCCACAUUAAACACAUGUAAUGCCCAUAUCCAACUGCAGAUACAGUUUAUAUAUAA